Molecule: ribosomal RNA, 403 nt
Filed under: uncultured bacterium
Lineage: Bacteria
Description: partial 16S ribosomal RNA
Rfam family: Bacterial small subunit ribosomal RNA
Source: RNAcentral
AUUGAACGCUGGCGGCAGGCCUAACACAUGCAAGUCGAGCGAGCGGCGGACGGGUGAGUAAUGUAUGGGGCCUGCCCGAUAGAGGGGGAUAACUACUGGAAACGGUGGCUAAUACCGCAUACUAUCGGAUAACCCAUAUGGGAUUAGCUCGUAGGUGGGGGAAAGGCUCACGUAGGCGACGCUCUCUAGCUGGACUGAGAGGAUGAUCAGCCACAAUGGGACAGAGACGCGGCCCAGACUCCUACGGAGGCAGCAGUGGAGAAUAUUGCACAAGGCGCGAAAGCCUGAUGCAGCCAUGCCGCGUGUAUGAAGAAGGCCUUAGGGUUGUAAAUUACUUUCAGCGGGGAUGCGUGACCCGCAGAAGAAGCACCGGAUAACUCAGUGGCAGCCGCCGCGGUAAUUC